This 1816-nucleotide long non-coding RNA is filed under the name Homo sapiens (human). RNAcentral describes it as "HSALNT0401016". Lineage: Eukaryota; Metazoa; Chordata; Mammalia; Primates; Hominidae. The record is from RNAcentral.
AGAGAGAAAUGUUCAACCAAAACAUUUGUUGGAUGAGUAAAAAAAGAAACAUGAUCCUUUCCCUCCUGAAGCUUACAGUCUAUCAUGGAAUGCAGACAAGUCAACAGAUCUUUAUCUUUCAUUAAUAAUCGAUAUAGAAAAUAUAAACAUAAGGUGCCAUGGAAGAAUAUCUUCAAUCAAAUCCAGCAAAAUACCUGUUCUCUACGCUAGGUGCACAGGUGUCUUGACUCAUUGCUGCCACACAUUGGCCACUCUCAUCGAAUUCAGAGGACUCAUGGAAACCACACACCCACUAGCUGUUCCCUCAGAAGCCCCUGAAUUACCAACAAAAAGCUGGUUCGUCUCGGCUACUGAGAAAUAAUUUGUCAUGUUUCAUCCCCUAAAUGAAAGAUGCCAGACUGAAUGCCCGUCUGAGAAAGGGACAGAGCAUGAGAUCUAACAAAGAACCUCAGCACUCAAAAAGUUUACCACUAAAAUGGAGUGACAAGGAAAGCAGGGGAAGAAAAAUCACUACUGGAAGUACUGCUACUAUCACCACUGCUCCUGGGAGGAAUCACCGCAGCAGCUGUUCAUCAAGUGCUUCCUGCAGCCAAUCACUAGGCUAAAAGCACCUGACAUGCCACAUCACAGCAGCUUGCUAACAAUAGCUGCUGUGAUUCUCACUUAACAAUAAAAGUGUGGCUCAGCGAGGCCAAGGAGCUUUUUCAAAAUCUUGUCACUAAUAAAUCUCAGAGUCCAGGCUUGAACCCAUGUCAACCUGACCCUAACGCCUUGGUCUUCACCUGAGUGCUUGCUAUGUGCCAGGCAUUGUCAACAGUACUUUAUAUUAAUUGUGUCACUUAAUUGUUAAACAGCCCUAUCAGUUCUCCAUCAAUAUUCCCUGAAGGGAAUGGGGCCUUGGAAAGAUUAGUGAACUGGACCCCUGACAUGAUCUCUUCCUUCCAAUACUUACAAUAAACUACUGUUUAGUAUGGAGAAGAAAGACUAGUGGAUAUUGAAGAACUGGCAGAAUAAACACUUGCAUAGAUGGAAGAUGUACAGAGGAUGUAUGCGAUACAGGACUUUAAAGAAUGCUGACAUCUUUGUGGCUGAAAUUAAUUGGAAAUUUUAAAGUUCUUGAAAAAUGUCGAGUUGAUUUCUCAGAUGUUUUACUCACCGAUAAUAUGUGCUUUAUCCACGUCAGUGCACUUUUGCCAUAAAUUAUUGUUGUUAUCACUAUUAUUAUUUUACUUUGCCAAUCUGAAAUCCGUCCUGGAAUUUGGCACAUGUAUGGGAUAUGGAUAGAAAAUAAGAGCAAAGAGGAAUUCAAGAUAAUGAGGCAAUAUAAACAAAAGUUGAAAAGAGAAAAUGAGCAUGCAGUGCCUAGAGAUGCCAAGGAAUCCAGAUCACUGAGGUCGGAUAGAUGUGUCUUUCCAGAAUUUGAUGAGGUUAACCAGGUAGAGCCAGAUGGUAGAGAUCCUUGAAUACCAGGCAAGGGAGUUCAUCUCUCCACCUGUAAGCAUGAAGGAGCCACGGGAGAUUUUGCAAAGGGAAUGACCAAAACGAAAAUGGCAUUUAGGAAAUGAGUUUGCCAGAAGUACCUGGGAGAAAUGGGGACUAGGCACUGAGAAUGUAAUUCAUAGCACAGCAGAACAGAUACUAAAAGAUCGUUCUGGAAGCAGAAGGGCUGGUUUCCAGCUUUUCUGAGGUUGUUUCACUGUGGGUAACUGCUAAGGCCUUCACCCUUGAUGCCAGAGGUGCUGAAACACAUUGCCACACGGCGAAAGAAGUGCCCUAUUGGCCCAAACACAUUGAAUAAACAUCUACCUCAAACCUU